This 151-nucleotide small nucleolar RNA is filed under the name Monopterus albus (swamp eel). The record is from RNAcentral. Lineage: Eukaryota; Metazoa; Chordata; Actinopteri; Synbranchiformes; Synbranchidae.
CUUCAGUGAUGAUACGAUGACGAGUCGGAACAGGACUCCAUCUGGUUCUGAUGGUAACGGGUUCAGAUUCACGUUCUGUGGUCCUGCUCCUGUUCCCCAGGUCCAGUGGGUCCCUUUUGGUUGAAGACAUCGAGGCAUUUGUCUGAGAAGG